AGUGAACGCUGGCGGUAGGCCUAACACAUGCAAGUCGAACGGCAGCGCAGUAAGAGCUUGCUCUUACGGGUGGCGAGUGGCGGACGGGUGAGGAAUACAUCGGAAUCUACUUUUUCGUGGGGGAUAACGUAGGGAAACUUACGCUAAUACCGCAUACGACCUACGGGUGAAAGCAGGGGAUCUUCGGACCUUGCGCGAUUGAAUGAGCCGAUGUCGGAUUAGCUAGUUGGCGGGGUAAAGGCCCACCAAGGCGACGAUCCGUAGCUGGUCUGAGAGGAUGAUCAGCCACACUGGAACUGAGACACGGUCCAGACUCCUACGGGAGGCAGCAGUGGGGAAUAUUGGACAAUGGGCGCAAGCCUGAUCCAGCCAUACCGCGUGGGUGAAGAAGGCCUCCGGGUUGUAAAGCCCUUUUGUUGGGAAAGAAAAGCAGCAGGUUAAUACCCCGCUGUUCUGACGGUACCCAAAGAAUAAGCACCGGCUAACUUCG
RNAcentral lists this ribosomal RNA (490 nucleotides) under uncultured bacterium. Its description in RNAcentral is "partial 16S ribosomal RNA". It matches the Rfam family "Bacterial small subunit ribosomal RNA", at positions 29 to 505 of the family's 1533-position model. The record is from RNAcentral.